UACGAAGGUCCCGAGCGUUGUUCGGAAUCACUGGGCGUAAAGGGAGCGUAGGCGGCGUGGUAAGUCAGAUGUGAAAUCCCGGGGCUCAACCCCGGAACUGCAUCCGAUACUGCCGUGCUAGAGGAUUGGAGAGGUAGCUGGAAUUCUUGGUGUAGCAGUGAAAUGCGUGGAGAUCAAGAGGAACACUCGUGGCGAAAGCGAGCUACUGGACAAUAUCUGACGCUGAGGCUCGAAGGCCAGGGUAGCGAAAGGG
RNAcentral lists this non-coding RNA (253 nucleotides) under uncultured bacterium. RNAcentral describes it as "partial 16S ribosomal RNA". It matches the Rfam family "Bacterial small subunit ribosomal RNA", at positions 524 to 776 of the family's 1533-position model. The record is from RNAcentral. RNAcentral also lists the same sequence under 2 other names.